This 1519-nucleotide long non-coding RNA is filed under the name Callithrix jacchus (white-tufted-ear marmoset). RNAcentral describes it as "lncRNA (ENSCJAG00000077927.1)". The record is from RNAcentral. Lineage: Eukaryota; Metazoa; Chordata; Mammalia; Primates; Cebidae.
CUACGCAUUGUGACUUUAAUCCCUGACAAUCUUGGGUGAGAGACAUUUUAUUGAUGACCCUCCUAACACUGAUCUGUGGAAGACUAAUUCUGUCUCUUUCCAGUACUCCCGGAUGCAACUGCACCCAAUAGGUAUGUGUCACACGAGAGAUGUAGCUACAAACAUCUUUUCCUUUUGCCAAUUCACACUUUUAUUAGCCACGUUAUCAUAAGCAAGGGUGGCUUGUUCUUAGUACAUUUUAGAUGGCUCUUCUCUUGAAACAUUGUCAUUUCCUCUAAAUGUUUGGCCAUUAUCAGCUGGCUGUAGUGUUAAGUCUUGGUUUUUCCUUUCUCACUUCCAUUUUUAGCCCAUGGAACUAAAGCUAACUCAUUUCAGGUAGUGCAACGUGAGACACAUCAUUUGGUGCUCCUGACACUGAGGUCUCACAACUGUGAAGGGGUGUCAUGUUCCCUGGUCUACCCAUCACUCAGGACAUCAAAUCCUGGGGCUCUCUUCACAAACAGACCUUGUAGAUUUCCGUGAUUCUGACAACUGUGUUGCAGCAGAUAGCAGCUGGUGGCUUUUCUAAUGCAUUGCAAAGGCAGUUCGGGCUGGUUGUGGAACAGAAAGUGCUGUGUGGGCCGGAUGACUGUUCUAGCCACGCGCUGUGGAGGGUGAGGUGCCUGCUACUCCCAUACUGUCACAUGUUGGUGUCAAGCCUGCAGGGCAGAGGCUAUGGAGCACCUGCCUCUACUGAGGUGGCCUGGCGGCAUCACCUGCUGAGCUGUCUGUACCAAGGCAGCUGAAGCCUACACAGAAACCUCCUUGUGCAACUCUCCACGUGAACCAGUCACUGGAACUGCGGUGCCCUGGGCGAGAGAUUAACGAGAUUUCACCAGAAUUCACUCACAAAAUUCCCUGCAGAUACACUGUGUUUUCCAUUCCACUGACGUGUAUCUUCUGCAGCAACCGCAUCCUGCUGGUUCCACAUGCAUCGUCAGAAGGUGAACCUGUGAGUCACAGCGAUGCUCCAGGCUCCACAUGUGAGCAAUCGUGCAAGCACCGACUCCUAGAGAUGGAAGAGGCCCAAGAGUGCCUGAUGCAAAAGUCCCUCUCCGGCACCCUGUUAGACAGUACUGCAGCGCAUGUUUGAAACAGACGACAGAGAAACAGGACACCUGCCUCCCACUCGCCGGCCCUGUGUUCCCCGGUCACUCCUGAGCUAUGCGGGAAGCGGCUGCAUCCAGAGUCACAAAGGAGUCUGACGCCAGAACCAUCAACAUGGGCUUUCCUCCAGCUAAAGUGCUUCAGCUCUCCUAGUCUUCCGGGAACCUUGGAAAAUAUCCAGCCUCUUGAAUUCCCACCUCAGAUGUCAUCUCAUCCAGAAAGCCAUUUGUGACAGUCCGUGAGAAAGAACUUAACCUUCUUCCUCUGCACCUUGCUGGAAGCCAGUCCUCUUAGCUUGCUCUGUGUUUUUUUUCUCAUAGACUUUAUUAAUAUACAGCAUAGUAUGGCAAUGACUUGUUUUAUUUAUUAUGUA